UCCUGCUUGUUUUCCGGUUGUUCGGGUUGGUUUUAUUUGUCGGGUCGGUUUUUCCACUCUCAGCCCGUUAUCGCCCGCCGGUCCGGUGCUGUUUGGUUUUGUCCUUUUUGAAAUUUGGAGUGCGUGUCGUUCCCCUUUCCCAUUUGGGUCAUUCUGUUUCGAUAAGGCCGAGGGAGAGAGCCCGGGCGGCGGAGGCGACGCGAUUCCAUGGUGAUUCUGAUCUUCCCCUCUCCUCGUGCUUGAUUUUUCCUCCGUGUUCCUUCGAUCCCGGCUCCCGUGGUACGUUGCUGCUGUCUCUCGUGGUUCCCCGUUUGAUUUUGCUCCUGUUGUGGUCAUGUUUUUCGGGAUCUAGGUGAAAUUCAUGUAUGUGGAUUCGGAUUUCGCAUGUUUCUGCUCGUGGUUCCCUGUAGCGGUUGUAGGUGAUGUUGUGUUGUUGUUGGUGGAUCCGUGGAAGGGGUGCUCAAGUCCGUCCUCUUCGUACUUCGGCAAUUUCCCCUCUGCUCCCGCUCGAGUGAGUUGUGUUGGAGCUUGCAACUGCGGGUUAUAGGCCGCCCCCUGCUUGUAGUUGUGAUUUGUAGCCUUAGAUUGCUGCUGUAGGUGGUGGAUGUAGUCCUAGUGAUUGUUGUAGGGUUGAUUUCACUACGAAUUUUCUAGUUGGAGAUGCUCCAUCCUACCAUCUUGUAGGUGUGUCUGAAUUUCUUCAGGUCCUGUAGAAUUUCUUCCUCACCUGCUUGUAGUUGUUCUUAGUUGUUGUAGUUGCUUGUAGCUGCCUGUAGUGUUCGCCCAUGUGUUGUUCUAGGUUCUGUAGGGGUGGUAGUAACAUUUUGCUACAGUUCUCCCCUGUUAUUGUAGAUGUGGAUGUAGUUUACAUUUUGCUGCAGGUGGUAGAGGUAGUCACAGUGGUAGUUGGAGGGGUUGUAUUUGUUUCUCCUAGUAUUCGUCAUGACUGCCCUAUGGCUGGUGUCAUUGUGAAUUUGUUUUGCAACAGUCUGAAUUUGUUUUGUAGGGGUUGUUUGUUCAGUGUUCACAUGCAGUGUAAUUUAACCAGCAUUUUCACUGUUUUUACCCCAUAAUGGUAGUGUAAUUUAACCAGCAUUUACUGUGUAAUCCAUCAUAAUUUCAGUUUUUUCAGUAUAAUGUGCCCUAGAAUAACUAUGUAAUUUAACCUACAUUUACAUUGUAAUCUAACCUUAUCUUUACUCAGUAAUUUAACCUUCUAAAUUCUCAGUGUAUUUUACACUGUAACAUGUCCCAAUUCUCAGUGUAAUUUUGUGCUAUAUUUACACUGAUUUUGUGCUAUUAUUGCUGUGUAAUUGUCCCGUAGUUUCAGUGUAAUACACAACUUAGUUUCAGUGUAAUCUUCACGAUAACUUCUGCGUAAUUGUCCCUUAGUUUCAUUGUAAUAUGCAACUUAGUUUCAUUGUAACUUAGUUUCUCUAUAACUUCAGUGUAAUUCACUGCAUAGUUUCAGUGUAAUUUUCACUAGAAUUACUGUGUAAUUUGACCAAUAGGUUGUUUGCAAUGUUCCGUCACAGUGUAAUUUGCGCCAAAGUUACAGUGUAAUUUUCAUUGUAACAACUAUGUAAUUUGUGCCAGAGUUUCUGUGUAAUUAUGAUGGCAAUAUUACUGUGUAAUUUGUAGUGUACUUACACUGUAAUCUGUCCAUUUUCAGUUGAUUGCUUGUAGUGUAAUUCUUGUAGUGUAAUUACUGUGUAAUUUGUAUGUAGUCUGCCCAUUUUACAGUGUAAUUACUGCUAGAAUUACUGUGUAUUUUGUAGUGUAGUUACACCGUAAUGUGCCCCUUUUUACAAAGUAAUUAUACUAUAACGGAUUUGCUAUUUUUCAGUCGACUGAUUUACAAGGCCAUCGUUCAAAUCUUUGUCCGUCCGUUGUCGCGCGGAGAUUCGCGCUCGAUCGCCCUGUCCUGUGUGGUUUUCGGGUUGGUUUUAUUUUUUUAGCCCGUUUGCGCUGCCCCGCCCCACCCGGACAGUUCACUGUUGGUUUUUAUCCCUUUGUAGUCCCCGUGUAGGAUUUCGCUAUAGUGGAAGUAGAUGCAACAAACGGCUGGAUCUAUGUGGAUGUUGGAGUGCUCAAUGUAGUUGUUCAGGUGUCCCUUCAUGCAAUUUCCUCCCCUUUUUGUGUGGAUGUAACUAGUGGAAUCUAGCUCGUAGGGUUAGCUCUGUAAGUGUGCAAGUUGGUUGUCAGUGAGUUAUAGUGAUUGUGACUGAAUUUUUUCAGCUAAUCCACUCGACAUUAGAUGUGGUGCUGGUGUUUUUAGCAUUUUGGAUGUGGAAUGCAUGUGCUUAGUUUGCUAGUUACCCUGGAUUUUACCUAGUAAUUCCAGUGUAUUUGUCACACCUUUUGAGUUGAUUUACAUUGUAUUUUUUAGUGUAUUUUUGAGUUGAUUCCCAUCAUUUUUCAGUGCCAAUGAUUCCAGUGUAAUCUAGUGUAUCUACAGUGUAAUUUAUCCCAGUUUUACAGUGAAUUUUCACCAACAACUCCAGUGUAUUUUACCCAAUAAUAAUGCUGUAAUUUGUCAUCGGAUUUAAAUGGACUGUAAUUUGAAUGUAAUUACAGUGCACUACGGUGUAUUUGUCAUCGGAUUUUAAGUGGACUGUAAUUUGAUUGUAAUUAUUGUAGUAUCCGACUUACAAUGUAAAUUUAGUGUAGUUGCACUAUAACAGUAUUUCAUAGGGGAUUUACAGUGUAAUUUUCAGUUUAAUUGCACUGUAAGUAUUGAUAUCUGAUUUACAGUGUAAAUUCAGUGUAAUUCCACAGUAAUUAUGAGUGUACUCACAGUGACAAUUACGUCAGUGUAAUUACUCUGUAAUAUGCCCCAAUUCUCAGCGUAAUUUUGUGCUAUAUUUACAUUGUAAUAUGUCCCAAUUCUUUUUCAGUAACGACCAUCACAACUUUGUAAUCUGAUUUUGCAAUGACAGUUGUCUUUCUUAUAGGCACUACACUUUCCUUUUCCACUUCUUUUGUCUUGCCAUACUUGUUGCAUUUCAUAGUAAUUCUUGUAAUUUCAUUGUUCCUUUUCUUGCUCACUGUUCUUGAUGCCGCGACAGUAGCCACUGAGAACCCAGCUAUUUUUGAGUAAAAGUUGAAGUACUCCUGCGCUUCUUCCUUUGUUUUGAACUGCAUGCCAAGUUCUGGCUUGAAAUUGCUGCUGAUGUUCAUCAAAUUUCCCUCUGAUGCGGCAGCCUCUUCAUUUUGCAGGAACAUCUCAAUGUCAUCUUCAUCAUAAAUGCAUCUUCUUCAUCAAGGGAGGCUUUGCUUUCAGGUUGUUGAUGCAAGUCCCCUUGUUCGCCCCUUUCUUCUUGAUUGUUUUGAUUUCUGUUAGUUUUUGCUGUUGCUGUACAAUCAGCAUCAUCAUUCAUCUGCAUUUUUUCAUUGUCCAUGUGUUAGAUUUUAUUUUGUGACAUUUUUCUUUCAAGAUAUGUAGUUGAAACAAUUGGUUUUGUAACAUCUUACCUCAUGUAUGUUGAUGUUCUCAAACAGGCCUGCCUCCCACGGAUUAACUUGCGCUUGCGCAUCUUCGCCUGUCGACUGUUGCCAAUUCUGCAUCUGUUGUGUAAGUCAUCAUAAUGUUUGUCAUUCAGCUAUCUUUUCCAUACCAUUUUUUGUUCUGAUUUAUUUAGAAAGGAAAUUUAUUUACGUUUGCAUGUCCUGAGCUGUAGGUGGUAUCUGCUUGUUUGUUGUAGUUUUCCUUUUCUCCGUGAUUCAUAUUUGCUUGUCCAUUCACUGAGUGAACCUUGUAUAUGAUGUCUGAUUGUAGGAGCGCAGUAAACGGAAAUGAUCCCUGCAGUAUUUAGUUAUGAUUGUCAAUAUUGGCAAUCAGAAAAUGGCUGCUUUGUCAGUAUUGUAACUCACAUUUAGUAUGAGGUCUUCUUGUGACAUUGACGAUGGAUCUUCUUCAGUUACUGUUUUUUGUUUUCUUUCUUCCUGCAAAUAAAUUUGUAGUAAUGACAGUUAGUAGCAAAAAAAUAACGAAUACAUUACAUUGACAGUAGAUCUUCUUCAGAUACUGGAAUAAUUUUCUUACCAACUUUUGUUUGAUUGUGUGUUGUAUUUUUCUAUUCUGCAUCUACUGUUAAUGCCUAGGUUUUCCUCUGCAUCUAUUGUUAAUGCCUUUUCUGCAUCUACUAUUAAUCCAGAGGAAAACUAUGUGGUGUAUUUUCUUACUAACUUAUGUAUUUUUCUUUUGUUUUCUCCAAUUUUCUUGUUAUGUGAUGAAUGCUCCCAAAAUUUCUGCAAUUAUCUGUGUUUUAGCUCUCUGAUUUAAUCACCUAAUGAUCUACCCCCUGUUGUUUCUUGACUUCUAGGUGGACAUAAUGAGAGGAGUUGAAGAUUUUCAUGUACAUGUUGUUUUCCUCUGGAUUGAUAUUGCUGUGUAGCACAAGUGACUGCUUCUGUUCUACCUCUAGGUAAUUCCCUCUGCCAUGCCUCUGCCUCUCCCCUGUUUCCCUCUCCCAUGGCGUUUGUGCCAUGUUCUUCUUCCACCUCCCCCUCUCCCAUGGCUUCUCUGGCUUGUUCUUCUCCCCACUCCCUCUCUCCAAUGGCGUCUCUGCCAUGUCUUUCUCCUCCAUGCCCCUCUCCCAUGGCUUCUCUGCUAUGUUCUUCUCCCCCCUCUAUCUGUCCAAUGGCGUCUGUGCCAUGUCCCUCUCCCAUGGCGUUUGUGCUAGGUGAGAUCUGUGAGAUAUGUCAAAAGGGGGGUAGAAGGAGGCAGGUUUUUUUUCGUGUCUCAAGUUGAAGAAGAGCCUCUUGCUGAUUAUGUUUUCCUGCCAGGUGCCAGAAGGAAAGGAGGACAACUGGGAGGGACCGGUUCAACCUUUUGUUUGUUUUUGGUUGACCCGUUUUCAACCCGACCCGUUUUCAACAGACAACUGUCAACAGUUCAUUGGAUGGAAAAAAUGACUGACAUCUAAUUACAAAUCAAUCGAAUUACAAAUAGACACUCCCUUCCUUUUUUUGAGGGGAAAAAGUGAAAACUAUUUAAUUCUUCCUUUAGCGAGUUGAUACGGACAUUGUUUUUUUUCUUUUGCGAAGUCAUAUGGACAUUGUUGAGAGGAGGAGGAGGAGGCCUGCAGAGACCGAGCGCCGUGCGCGCUGACGCCCAUGCCCAUGCACAUGCAUGCGCGCGCGCAAAUGUCGGAUCGGCCGGCCUCGAUGGAUGACACACGUGGUGUGUGUUGGCCAUGCACAUGCAUAGAUACUACUACAU
This 5224-nucleotide long non-coding RNA is filed under the name Triticum aestivum (bread wheat). RNAcentral's name for it is "long non-coding RNA (TAES_LNC026634)". The record is from RNAcentral. Lineage: Eukaryota; Viridiplantae; Streptophyta; Magnoliopsida; Poales; Poaceae.